RNAcentral lists this ribosomal RNA (390 nucleotides) under uncultured bacterium. RNAcentral's name for it is "bacterial SSU rRNA". It matches the Rfam family "Bacterial small subunit ribosomal RNA", at positions 32 to 405 of the family's 1533-position model. The record is from RNAcentral.
AAUCAACGCUGGCGGCGUGCCUCAGACAUGCAAGUCGAACGAGAAGUCCCCUUCGGGGGAUGGAUAGUGGCGCACGGGUGAGUAACACGUGGGUAAUUUACCUUUGGGUGGGGAACAACAGCCGGAAACGGCUGCUAAUACCGCAUAAUGCAGCGGCUCCUCAUGGAGACAGUUGUUAAAGCGGGGGAUCGCAAGACCUCGCGCCUGAAGAGAAGCCCGCGGCAGAUAGCUAGUUGGUAAGGUAAUGGCUUACCAAGGCGACGAUCUGUAACCGGCCUGAGAGGGCGGUCGGUCACACUGACACUGACAUACGGGUCAGACUCCUACGGGAGGCAGCAGUCGGGAAUUUUGGGCAAUGGGCGAAAGCCUGACCCAGCAACGCCGCGUGAA